This 460-nucleotide ribosomal RNA is filed under the name uncultured bacterium. RNAcentral's name for it is "bacterial SSU rRNA". It matches the Rfam family "Bacterial small subunit ribosomal RNA", at positions 29 to 532 of the family's 1533-position model. The record is from RNAcentral.
AACGAACGCUGGCGGCAGGCCUAACACAUGCAAGUCGAGCGAACCCUUCGGGGUUAGCGGCGGACGGGUUAGUAACGCGUGGGAAUAUACCCUUUGGUACGGAAUAGCCUCGGGAAACUGAGAGUAAUACCGUAUGUGCCCUUGGGGGAAAGAUUUAUCGCCAAAGGAUUAGCCCGCGUUGGAUUAGAUAGUUGGUGGGGUAAUGGCCUACCAAGUCUACGAUCCAUAGCUGGUUUGAGAGGAUGAUCAGCAACACUGGGACUGAGACACGGCCCAGACUCCUACGGGAGGCAGCAGUGGGGAAUCUUAGACAAUGGGCGCAAGCCUGAUCUAGCCAUGCCGCGUGGACGAUGAAGGCCUUAGGGUUGUAAAGUCCUUUCAGAUGGGAAGAUAAUGACGGUACCAUCAGAAGAAGCCCCGGCUAACUCCGUGCCAGCAGCCGGCGGUAAUGUGACUACUG